CCUACGGGUGACAGCAGUAGGGAAUAUUGCACAAUGGGCGAAAGCCUGAUGCAGCAACGCCGCGUGGGGGAUGAAGUAUUUAGGUAUGUAAAGCUCUAUCGGCAGGGAAGAUAGUGACGGUACCUCAGGAAUAAGCCACGGCUAACUCCGUGCCAGCAGCCGCGGUAAUACGGAGGUGGCAAGCGUUACUCGGAAUUACUGGGUGUAAAGGGUGUGCAGGCGGGAAAGUAAGUCAGAUGUGAAAACCUAGAGCUCAACUCUGGGCCUGCAUUUGAAACUGUUUGUCUUGAGUGCUGGAGAGGUAGGUGGAAUUCUUGGUGUAGGGGUGAAAUCCGUAGAUAUCCAGAGGAAUACUCGUGGCGAAGGCGAACUGCUGGAAAGUAACUGACGCUCAGGCGCGAAAGCGUGGGGAGCAAACAGGAUUAGAUACCCCUGUAGUC
RNAcentral lists this ribosomal RNA (440 nucleotides) under uncultured bacterium. RNAcentral describes it as "partial 16S ribosomal RNA". It matches the Rfam family "Bacterial small subunit ribosomal RNA", at positions 338 to 795 of the family's 1533-position model. The record is from RNAcentral.